This is a long non-coding RNA of Mustela erminea (ermine), 1126 nucleotides long. RefSeq lists it as uncharacterized. NCBI's taxonomy places the organism in Eukaryota, Metazoa, Chordata, Mammalia, Carnivora, Mustelidae. The transcript has 4 exons. The record is from RefSeq and is a predicted model, not a curated record.
UUCUUCACAGUAAAAUAACAACAACAAACCCACAAAGUGCAAGAUGGUGUAACCUCCUUGUUUAUAUCACAUCACAUCAUUGUUAGUCUACUUUCCUUUCCUCCUGUGGAAACAGGAAACACUAUGGCCAGUCCCCACACAGAUACUUGGGCUCUUUUGUUUCAGCCACUAAAUCCCAUCAGCCAGCACACCGGUUAUCAUAGUCAAUCUCUUCUUAAUCUUAAUUCCAAACCGAACUCCUGUCUGGAGAUUCGAGUUUUAGUUUGUAUUUCAAUAGCUCAUAUAGGCUUAUUUUUCUAUCGUGAACAAACUAAAAAAACUUCUAUAUUUUUUAAACUAGACAAUCUGAACACUGCCUGUCAAUAAACAAGCCAACAGACCACCAUUGAAGAGCAAACUUGCUCGAAUAAACAAGGCGGGGAUGCCUGUGGGAACAGGACUAGGACUGUCAUAGCUCGCUGGAGUUAUGGUUACAGAUGGAAACACAUUUUAGAAUGGGCCUGCUUCAGUUUCUCCUCUGGACCCAUGGUGGCUUCUGUGGUGUCCUGGGUUUUCCCCCACUCAUCUUGGGACAGCUUCUGUAAGUCAUGGAAGAUGAUGUAGCUGCUGCAUUGGUUUUGCCUCUUUGCAACAUACUCAGCACACACAUGCUUCUCAGCCAAACUGUGAGGGAAGCAGUGUACUUCCUCCAGGGCCACAGCCUCACGGUGGAAAUGGAAGCCCAAAGGGAGUUCUCAUGAAUUGAUGGCUGGUCUCUGCUCCCCCAGUCAUCAGCUGGAACAACUCAGUUGGAAUGAUGAAGGAUUUACUUUCAAGAUGGCUCACUCAACUGGCUGGCAUAUCGGAGCUUACUUAACUGGGACCUCAGCCAGGGUUGUGGACCAGAGGCCUUGGUUCCUUUCUAUACACCACGCGAAGAGGACUGGGCCAGCCCGUGGGAGACAUGUGGACUGGCCCACAGCCAGCCCCAGUUCUCACAUAUGUGAGUGGGGCUGCGCUGAAUCAUGCUGAAUCACUGAAUGAGUUCCAGGCCAGCUCCAAUUUAACUACAGACGUGUAAAUAACCGCAUGGGAGAUCAGCCAAACAGCCUCGCUAAGCCCAGUUCAAAUAGCGGAAGCACAGAAU